This 435-nucleotide ribosomal RNA is filed under the name uncultured bacterium. Its description in RNAcentral is "bacterial SSU rRNA". It matches the Rfam family "Bacterial small subunit ribosomal RNA", at positions 346 to 793 of the family's 1533-position model. The record is from RNAcentral.
AGGCAGCAGUGGGGAAUAUUGCACAAUGGGCGCAAGCCUGAUGCAGCAACGCCGCGUGAGGGACGACGGCCUUCGGGUUGUAAACCUCUUUUAGUAGGGAAGAAGCGAAAGUGACGGUACCUGCAGAAAAAGCACCGGCUAACUACGUGCCAGCAGCCGCGGUAAUACGAAGGGUGCAAGCGUUAAUCGGAAUUACUGGGCGUAAAGCGUGCGUAGGCGGUUUGUUAAGUCCGAUGUGAAAGCCCUGGGCUCAACCUGGGAAUGGCAUUGGAAACUGGCGAGCUAGAGUAAGGUAGAGGAGUGCGGAAUUCCUGGUGUAGCGGUGAAAUGCGUAGAGAUCAGGAGGAACAUCCGUGGCGAAGGCGGCACUCUGGACCAUUACUGACGCUGAGGCACGAAAGCGUGGGGAGCAAACAGGAUUAGAUACCCUGGUAG